This 653-nucleotide ribosomal RNA is filed under the name Lactobacillus gasseri. Its description in RNAcentral is "bacterial SSU rRNA". It matches the Rfam family "Bacterial small subunit ribosomal RNA", at positions 373 to 1017 of the family's 1533-position model. The record is from RNAcentral. Lineage: Bacteria; Bacillati; Bacillota; Bacilli; Lactobacillales; Lactobacillaceae.
GGACGCAAGUCUGAUGGAGCAACGCCGCGUGAGUGAAGAAGGGUUUCGGCUCGUAAAGCUCUGUUGGUAGUGAAGAAAGAUAGAGGUAGUAACUGGCCUUUAUUUGACGGUAAUUACUUAGAAAGUCACGGCUAACUACGUGCCAGCAGCCGCGGUAAUACGUAGGUGGCAAGCGUUGUCCGGAUUUAUUGGGCGUAAAGCGAGUGCAGGCGGUUCAAUAAGUCUGAUGUGAAAGCCUUCGGCUCAACCGGAGAAUUGCAUCAGAAACUGUUGAACUUGAGUGCAGAAGAGGAGAGUGGAACUCCAUGUGUAGCGGUGGAAUGCGUAGAUAUAUGGAAGAACACCAGUGGCGAAGGCGGCUCUCUGGUCUGCAACUGACGCUGAGGCUCGAAAGCAUGGGUAGCGAACAGGAUUAGAUACCCUGGUAGUCCAUGCCGUAAACGAUGAGUGCUAAGUGUUGGGAGGUUUCCGCCUCUCAGUGCUGCAGCUAACGCAUUAAGCACUCCGCCUGGGGAGUACGACCGCAAGGUUGAAACUCAAAGGAAUUGACGGGGGCCCGCACAAGCGGUGGAGCAUGUGGUUUAAUUCGAAGCAACGCGAAGAACCUUACCAGGUCUUGACAUCCAGUGCAACCCUAAGAGAUUAGGUGUUCC